AGUCCUCAAUUUUGUUCAGCGGUAUCGUUUGGUAUUCUGACGGCUCCUCGUUCGCCGGUUUGUAUCCCUGCAACGAUUUACCAUGAUUUUCCGCAAUGAAGAUACGAACUCGGUGUCGCGCGAAAUAAUUUCAAAUCACGAUUGGUAUCACAGUGCAGAAUGUACCUUGGGGUAAGUUCUGAAGGCUCCUAAGCAGACCUUGCCAGCAGAGAUGGUUCUCACGGGAUCGAUGACGAUAGCGACGAACGGUUCUUGAAAGUUCUGAUUAAGCAUCUGAGUAGAUACGUCGAUACCAGACAAC
Long non-coding RNA from Ooceraea biroi (clonal raider ant), 301 nucleotides. RefSeq lists it as uncharacterized. The record is from RefSeq and is a predicted model, not a curated record. NCBI's taxonomy places the organism in Eukaryota, Metazoa, Arthropoda, Insecta, Hymenoptera, Formicidae.